GAGUUUGAUCCUGGUUCAGGACGAACGCUGGCGGCGUGCCUAAUACAUGCAAGUCGAACGCUUUUUCUUUCACCGGAGCUUGCUCCACCGAAAGAAAAGGAGUGGCGAACGGGUGAGUAACACGUGGGUAACCUGCCCAUCAGAAGGGGAUAACACUUGGAAACAGGUGCUAAUACCCUAUAACAAGUAAAACCGCAUGGUUUUACUUUGAAAGGCGCUUUUGCGUCACUGAUGGAUGGACCCGCGGUGCAUUAGCUAGUUGGUGAGGUAACGGCUCACCAAGGCAACGAUGCAUAGCCGACCUGAGAGGGUGAUCGGCCACAUUGGGACUGAGACACGGCCCAAACUCCUACGGGAGGCAGCAGUAGGGAAUCUUCGGCAAUGGACGAAAGUCUGACCGAGCAACGCCGCGUGAGUGAAGAAGGUUUUCGGAUCGUAAAACUCUGUUGUUAGAGAAGAACAAGG
RNAcentral lists this ribosomal RNA (465 nucleotides) under uncultured bacterium. RNAcentral's name for it is "bacterial SSU rRNA". It matches the Rfam family "Bacterial small subunit ribosomal RNA", at positions 9 to 454 of the family's 1533-position model. The record is from RNAcentral.